RNAcentral lists this non-coding RNA (29 nucleotides) under Rattus norvegicus (Norway rat). Lineage: Eukaryota; Metazoa; Chordata; Mammalia; Rodentia; Muridae. The record is from RNAcentral.
CACACACAUACAUGUAGGUAAAACUCUAA